Molecule: transfer RNA, 74 nt
Filed under: Hydrocarboniphaga daqingensis
Lineage: Bacteria; Pseudomonadati; Pseudomonadota; Gammaproteobacteria; Nevskiales; Nevskiaceae
Also listed under: 3 other names
Description: tRNA_Gln_CTG
Rfam family: tRNA
About the family: Transfer RNA (tRNA) molecules are approximately 80 nucleotides in length. Their secondary structure includes four short double-helical elements and three loops (D, anti-codon, and T loops). Further hydrogen bonds mediate the characteristic L-shaped molecular structure. tRNAs have two regions of fundamental functional importance: the anti-codon, which is responsible for specific mRNA codon recognition, and the 3' end, to which the tRNAs corresponding amino acid is attached (by aminoacyl-tRNA synthetases). tRNAs cope with the degeneracy of the genetic code in two manners: having more than one tRNA (with a specific anti-codon) for a particular amino acid; and 'wobble' base-pairing, i.e. permitting non-standard base-pairing at the 3rd anti-codon position.
Source: RNAcentral
UGGGGGAUCGUCUAAUGGUAGGACCCGGGAUUCUGAUUCCCGUUAUCUAGGUUCGAGUCCUAGUCCCCCAGCCA